UACGUAGGGGCUAGCGUUAUCCGGAUUUACUGGGCGUAAAGGGUGCGUAGGCGGUCUUUCAAGUCAGGAGUGAAAGGCUACGGCUCAACCGUAGUAAGCUCUUGAAACUGUAAGACUUGAGUGCAGGAGAGGAGAGUGGAAUUCCUAGUGUAGCGGUGAAAUGCGUAGAUAUUAGGAGGAACACCAGUUGCGAAGGCGGCUUACUGAGCCGACACUGACGCUGAGGCACGAAAGCGUGGGGAUCAAACAGGAUUAGAUACCCUGGUAGU
RNAcentral lists this ribosomal RNA (269 nucleotides) under uncultured prokaryote. RNAcentral's name for it is "partial 16S ribosomal RNA". It matches the Rfam family "Bacterial small subunit ribosomal RNA", at positions 524 to 794 of the family's 1533-position model. The record is from RNAcentral.